CCUUCUAGGAAUGCCUGGAAAACACUAUGACAUCAGGUGGGGGUAAUCAGAGGAGUGGUCAGAGCUCAACACAACAUACUGAGCCAGUAAUGUAAUGGUUACACAUAUUUCUGCCUUUAUAUUUACGGAAGAUUUUACUUGAUUUCUUUUUUCUGUCUUUCUACAAGCACUCACUGAUAUGACUGAGUCAACAGAAGCCUAAUCUUGAACAGCAGGAGAAAGAUUUCAGUUGAGGGAUCCCUGCUGUAUGAAUGGAAAAAUCUUGAUGAAAUAAUACAACCAAAAGACUAAACCAAGUGUUAAAGAAGCUGAAUGAGAAUCCAGUUUCAGAGGUGGAUGCAUAUUAUCCAAAAUAAAACAGAGUACGUGAACUGCAGGGCUACAAAUCCUGGCCAGGUCUCUACUCCCAAUGCAAUGGUUUAUCUUGUGCCACAGCAUGAAAUCCAGAA
Molecule: long non-coding RNA, 449 nt
Organism: Gavialis gangeticus (Gharial)
Lineage: Eukaryota; Metazoa; Chordata; Crocodylia; Gavialidae
Exons: 3
Source: RefSeq, a predicted model, not a curated record